CUCACCGGUAUGACUUGGUCUUUGUGUAUCCGCAGUAUGUCUCCAACACACACAUCCUUCCACUGAGCUGCUGUGAAGCUGCAGGACAGUUUUGGCAUUGUUAAUUCACUCAAAAUACCAGGAAUAAUGAUUGUAAGUUAAAAGGUGCACAGCUCACCCCUGGGUCGUGAGGAUAUCACAGGGUCUUCUGUUGAUCUUGGCAUCGCUGCGACGGCGACCCUGAAAUGUACACGAGAGAUCUGUGAGCAGGUCUUUGGCUCCACGCAUGAUCAGGACGGUGAGCAGCGGCAGCAUGGUGAUGUACCAGGGAAGAGUGGCAAUGAGAGGAACACACUGGACACCAGACACACAACCACACAAUAUACCAGUAAGAGACACAACACGCUGAACAUGUAAGAAGUAAAGUGAUCAUUAUAAAAUUUCUGUUGUGUCAUAACUGUUUCAACACAUAUUGUCAGACCAGACUGUGUAAUUAAAGCAUAACCUUGUGUGAAAA
This is a long non-coding RNA of Astyanax mexicanus (Mexican tetra), 496 nucleotides long. RefSeq lists it as uncharacterized. Lineage: Eukaryota; Metazoa; Chordata; Actinopteri; Characiformes; Acestrorhamphidae. The record is from RefSeq and is a predicted model, not a curated record. The transcript is spliced from 2 exons.